Anas platyrhynchos (mallard) is the source of this 1246-nucleotide long non-coding RNA. RefSeq lists it as uncharacterized. Lineage: Eukaryota; Metazoa; Chordata; Aves; Anseriformes; Anatidae. The record is from RefSeq and is a predicted model, not a curated record.
AAAAUUGCGAACACAUGGUUCGAGAGGAAGUUUCAUCGGCAAAUCAGUCUGUCACUUGAAUAAACUACAAUAGUUAUAAGGAGAGACAAAGUGACUCUUUAAAUAUUAUGGAAACUGGCAAGACUGCCUUUCCUUUGGGGGCUUAAAAUAACACAGCUGCCGCCGAGCGAAGAGAAAGCACCAGCAGGCUGCACGCAUCUCAUGCCGGGAUGCCCCAGCUUACCAGGGAAGCACCUCCACCCACUGGCCGUGGGCCAAGUGCCGAUUCUCCAGCAGGACAGAGCAGCUCCAGAUCAGACCUUUCGGCUCCCUCAGCUCAGCAGGAAAAGAGAGCGGGCGAAUUUGAGGCCACAGGGCAGCGUCUGUGCACAGACACGUGAUAAAGGCAGCAUGGUGUUACGCUGAAUGGCAAAUUCACAGUGCGUGCCUACUGCCUUUUGGGCCCUCUUAACUGCUAUCAAGUUUUUGGCCUGUGUCUGGAGGAGGGUUAAUGGGCUGCAUCUGGAGGGUGUGUGCUAUUCCCACCUAAUUACCAGGCCUUUGGAAGUAAGAGUUACUGGGCUGGACCACCACAACACCGGUGUGAGUGAGACCAGGCUCAGAGCCACAGCCAGCCUUAGAGAACGGAUUUAUCUGACUGUUCCUGUCACUUUUUUGAAGAUAGCACCAGGCAGUUGCAAACAACAAAACAAAGUAUUGGAAGGACAGGCAUGGGCAGAGACAGACCACACAUCCCUUCAGCCCUGGUGAAGCAAGCCUGGGUAUCCGUGGGGAAAGCUGUGCCACAGGGAGGCUUUUCUGUGAGGAUGAAGUGUUAAUGAUGAAGAUCAUCUGAGGGUGAGGCAUUCAGAAGGGAUCACCUCACUGAUGGCACAUGGACUGAUGCUACGUGCCUCAGAUCCAGACAAAUCUCAUAUCACGUCCACAUGAUCUAGGUGCCAAAUUCAAACCUUAGAGGUCGCUUUAAAAUAUCACAACUAUUUCACAAUUAUUUCAGUAGAAAACCAUGCAUGGAAAGGAUGCUGAUACUCUUUCCAUGGUCUCCACUUCUCCACUAGGCCUUACAUUAUCAACUCCUUUGCUAACUCAGUCACAUGCGCUAUUCAUAGAGAUUCGAGAAAAGAGCCCUCAAGCCUUUUCCCAUGUUCAACAGCAAGACUCUACCCACACAAAUACCUAAAAUACUUCACUUUUAAGUAAUAAAAUAGGAAAAAAAAAAAAAGUGCACUGGAAAUGAGUUCCCAUA